Molecule: long non-coding RNA, 699 nt
Organism: Haliotis rubra (blacklip abalone)
Lineage: Eukaryota; Metazoa; Mollusca; Gastropoda; Lepetellida; Haliotidae
Exons: 3
Source: RefSeq, a predicted model, not a curated record
UCCGAGUCAGCACUGUCAUUGCAAAUGGUACACGUAUUUCACAGCUGCCAGUGGAAUUCGAGCGGUGUGACAGUAUGUUCCUAUAUUACUCAAGUUACCAGCACGGACAUUUAAUGAGGUAAUGUACAUAUCUAGUAACAAAGAAUCACACCGAGGACUACCAUGGAACGUCGAGGAUAAAUAUCAGUUAGGCGACAGUGUUACACAGAGUAUGACGUCAAGCGUGCUACAAGCUAGCUUGACUACCUGAAUGCAUUUCUUACCGUUGUGUGGCAAGUGAUUUGUACGGAACAUGUACCUACACUCUCAACAGCAAAUGAAUACCUACUUGGAUUAAAGUUUACUGUGUCAAGCGUCCUACUUAUAUCAAACAUGGAACUGUGAAUUACGAAUAGUGAGUGCACUUAUCAAGUCAAGCUGAACUGUCAACGGUAUGACAGAAGUCUGUGAUCGUGUGGAUAUAUGUCACCUAUCUUUGCUACCUUCUUCAGCCAGUUUGUGCAGGUACAACAUACACCAGUAAGGCAUGCAAUGGAACCUAUGGACUCGUCUGUACUCGACAUGACAUCAGCUGCAACUCCAUACAGAAGAUCGCCAUCUAUGACGCCUACUACACUAACAACACCGAGUGUCCACAGACAGGCCUCUCUAACUGCCUCAAUUUCAGAGCGGACGGUGUAACAGAACAUGGAUAUCACC